CUCCCCCCAUCCGGCACAGGCGCGGCGGUCUCCCCCUUCUCCGGCACAGGCGCGGCGGUCUCCCCCUUCUCCGGCACAGGCGCGGCGGUCUCCCCCUUCUCCGGCACAGGCGCGGCGGUCUCCCCCCAUCCGGCACAGGCGCGGCGGUCUCCCCCCAUCCGGCACAGGCGCGGCGGUCUCCCCCUUCUCCGGCACAGGCGCGGCGGUCUCCCUCCAUCCGGCACAGGCGCGGCGGUCUCCCUCUUCUCCGGCACAGGCGCGGCGGUCUCCCUCCAUCCGGCACAGGCGCGGCGGUCUCCCUCCAUCCGGCACAGGCGCGGCGGUCUCCCUCUUCUCCGGCACAGGCGCGGCGGUCUCCCUCCAUCCGGCACAGGCGCGGCGGUCUCCCUCCAUCCGGCACAGGCGUGGCGGUCUUCCCCAUCCGGCACAGAAACAGCAGCUCCUGAGUGCUCUGGCAGCCAUGGAGUCUCCUAUACAGUCCAAGAUGCUGCCUCCAUGGCCUCGGCUGGUCCCGGGGGUGAGGAAUGCCACAGGCUGUUACUCCAUUCCCCAAGCCUAACGUUCAGUUCCCCUACAAAAAGGAACAAACAAUUGAGACGCACAGAAGACUCCCAGGCACUUUGAGGGUCGAGCUCCCAGGGACAGUUAACCUGGGUCUUAGAUGUAUCGAGGCAGAAACCACCUGGUCCUGAGUGCCGAUUUGCUGAGCCUGGCCUGUUUUCUCCUGCUUUUGUUCUCUCUCUCGACUCGCUGUCUGCAUCAGUCAUUCUGCAAACACCCCAGGCUUGGAGCCAGGCUCUGCAGGUACGUUCACCAACAAGGCCAGGUCCUCCCGCCCUCACUCAGGUCAGGUUCUGGGUCGGAAAAUGGGCAACAGACGUGUAACGACAAAUGCCGUCCAGCAAACGCUGAGGAUGACCUCACCUUACCCACCGACAGGAAGCUGUGGGAAGUGGGAGAGGGACAUGGGGGCUGGCCGGAGGGAGAUGGCCACAAAAGGGCUCUCUGAAUAUUCGACAUUUAGCAAAUAAAAAAUCUCAUUCUGAAUGAUUAAAAAGUAUGCACUAACUAACAGAAUUCCCAAUUUGUAAACUCUGCCAGAAUGAUGACCUCGGCCAGGUGUGUACCUGACCAUCUGAGUGUCCCUGGUGGGUGACUGCUGCCCUGCCGAGGUCCCUGGGGCACCUGGAUCAGUCCUGGCAUAGCUGGGCACAGGGCCCAGAUGCCCAUAUUUACAAAGGCCAUUCUGGACACUUGCUUCCCUGGCCGGCUGUGUCUGGUUACUGGCAACAUUACACUGCCAACGCCAAAGAGAAGGAGAUUCCUCUCUAUUUGUGACCACUUGACCUCACACAAUUGGGUGUACACAGAAGGAGAGCAGGAGUUUGGCAAACACAAUCACCCUAGAAAAUUCAGGAUUUGAGAUUGCUGUUCUCAUUGGCCACACAGCACCACAAUGGAUCUUUACUCAAAACUAAUGGAAAAUGUAUCCAGGCCUCCUAGGACUCCCAGUGGGUAGAUGCUGUUUUCAAGCUUUGCAGACAGAAGGGCAGAAGGGGUACAAUCAACCAGAGGCCGAGGCCUGAGAGCACCCCAAAAACCCUGCUGACAUCAGCAGAACAGAGGUGGAGGCUCCUCUCUACCAAGACGUUAGAAAGAUGAGAGUAAGAGAAAGUGAUGGAUCAGUGGGAUUGGGCCUUAGAUGCGGCUUUUAGUGAAACGAAAAAAAAGUUAUACCCUCAAGAUAAAAAUACCCAAUGCAAAAAAUCCCAAUUCAUAAAGCAACUAAAUUAUGAACGAACGUAUCAUUUCAGAAGCAUUCCCCACAAGCUUCUGUUAAACUGCAAGCAUCCAAAUGCCUUUAGAACACCUCCAUGUGAAGGAGGCCCUCAGAACACUGGACGUGGUGAAGCUUCGACCCUCUACAGCUGUCACAGGCAAAUUUCUCAAGCACAUUCCUAGGAAUCCCAUCUCGCAGAGGCCUUUCAAAAACCUUGGACUGGGAUGCUUAGUUUGAAGAAUUCAUGAUAAAUGUCAAACUAACUGGCCUAUCAGGCUUUGUUAUCUAAUUGAUCUGCCAGAUCAGGUCAACUGUUCUGACAGAAGUCAGUGUCAUUUUAAAUCCAAAUAAAAGUCUUGAUACGGGUCCCAUGACAACCUUUCAUCUCUAAUUUUGUUCUGGGAGUGAUGGAUGGGUGGAUAUUACUUCCAUAGCUCUGCUCUGUCCUGGGGGACCACCCUCAGGCCCAAGUGGUCACCAACAGCCCUUUGUGGGAGCCUGGGAACGUCUCAGUCCUGGGGCUGCCCACUGCGGCUCUGUGCAGCAUGCCAUUCCUUUGUAAGGGGGAGGAGGGAGACAGGGAAACGGUGCCAGGAAGAACCGGCAGGUCACAGAGCAUUCCC
This 2403-nucleotide long non-coding RNA is filed under the name Homo sapiens (human). RNAcentral's name for it is "HSALNT0026012". The record is from RNAcentral. Lineage: Eukaryota; Metazoa; Chordata; Mammalia; Primates; Hominidae.